AUGCCCCUAACGAUUGCGGCGUUUCUCUACAGCGUGUCCAUGGGCCCAGCGCCUGGCGUGUCCUCCUGGGAGCUUGCUGGACGCAUGACCAGGAUUCUGGGAGGGCAGAGGGCAGACCACAGGCACCCAGGAUAACUCAGUACACAUGGGUUCUCAGCUUCCUGUUCACAGAGAAACCUCAGACAAGAAGCACGUCGCCCAUUUUUCAUCAAGGCCAAUCCCAGACCACGAGAACGCUUUCUCUGCGUCAGCCCCAGCACCCCAGCGCCCCUGCCUCCAGGCGCCCACGGCCUCCGCACUCCAGUGGCCCAGACCUGGCUGAGGCAGCUCCCGUGGUAGAUCAAGCCUCACAGGCGGCUGGAAGAGCCAGUUCUGGGCUGGGCCUGUGGGAACAGGCGUCUGUUAGUCAGGGUUUCAGGAAUGCGGCCUUCGGAGCCUGAAGCGGGGAAUGGCGGCUUUGGGCUCUCAAGGGGCAGGCGGUAAGCCUGGGAGGCCAGGCCGGGCUGACCCAAGGGGAGGGGACCCUCUCCGCCCACUGCCGCUGGCCCUGGGCGGGUCCAGAGCCUGGGGGUCUCCAGAGGCACAAUCCCUUAUCUCCGGGAGAAGGCAGAGGGCAGAGGCAGGAAACAAAUCUCCUGUCAAAAUUCCUAAUUAAAAUACUAAGUAAGUGAUGGCUCCAGGCUCGGACACCAGACACUGAGAGAAUAAGGGAAAAUCAGCCCGGACAGCCAGGGCUAACAAGACGGUUAAUUACAGCCCGAGAAGAACGUUAACGGUAUUAAUUCUAACCACAAAGGAGGAAAAGAGAAGACCGCCCAAGAAGGAGAAGGAGGGUCCCUUUCCCAGAUGAGGCUGCCCUAACCACUGGGGCCUCGGCCCCUCCCAGGCCUGAGGGAGCCCAGCUCUGCCUGGCCCCACCCACCUCACCCCAACCCUGGCUGGCCCCGCCCACCCUUGCCUCAGCCCUGCCCGGCCCCUCCCACCCUUGCCCAGCCCCUGCUUGGCCCCUCCCACUCGUCCCAACCCUGCCUGGCACCGCCAACCCUUGCCCCAGCCCCUGCCUCGUCCUGCCCACCUCACCCCAGCACUUCCUAUGGUACUCACGCCU
Molecule: long non-coding RNA, 1108 nt
Organism: Gorilla gorilla gorilla (western lowland gorilla)
Lineage: Eukaryota; Metazoa; Chordata; Mammalia; Primates; Hominidae
Exons: 2
Source: RefSeq, a predicted model, not a curated record